RNAcentral lists this long non-coding RNA (519 nucleotides) under Prunus persica (peach). RNAcentral describes it as "long non-coding RNA (PPER_LNC001442)". The record is from RNAcentral. Lineage: Eukaryota; Viridiplantae; Streptophyta; Magnoliopsida; Rosales; Rosaceae.
CGGCUGAACUCUCGGACCGCCGCCGGCACGUCCGCUCCGACGGCUAACGGCGCAAAGCCUUGGACCCACGCCGAGUAGUUCGCCUCCAUUGCCGAAAACACCUUCUCAAUCUCCUCUUGCUCAAAUCCGCCAUGGUAAUCUCUAUCAUUCAAAAAUCUAAAAACAAGAAAAAUUGGAUUAUUGGGUUUGGACCAAAUCAAUUUUGAGAAUUUAACAUUGUGGGUAAUUGAAUAAUGUGUCAAUUGUGCGCGUAAUUGAGGCAAAAUUUUAACUUAUUCGAUUGAUAUGGUUGGCCGAUUACCUGGGAGAAGCGCCGAUGAGGACGAGCUUGGAGAAGAGGUUGGGUCGGCGGAUGGAGGCGAGAAUUCCGAUCAUGGCGGAGACGGAGUGGCCAACGUAGGCGCAACGGGUGACGGAGAGGGCGUCGAGAAUGGCGAGGAGGUCGUCGACGUAGGCGUCGAGGGUGGUGUAACGGCGGAAGUCAAAGUAGUCCGGGUUGACGCUGCCGGCGCAAACGAG